This 426-nucleotide ribosomal RNA is filed under the name uncultured bacterium. RNAcentral's name for it is "bacterial SSU rRNA". It matches the Rfam family "Bacterial small subunit ribosomal RNA", at positions 46 to 507 of the family's 1533-position model. The record is from RNAcentral.
GACCUAACACAUGACAAGUCGUACGAGUAGUUUUUAACUCUAGGUGGCGGACGGGUGAGUAACACGUGAGAAUUUGCCUUUAGGAGGGGGAUAACAAUUGGAAACGAAUGCUAAUACCCCAUAUGCUUUUGAGUGAAAUGGAUUUUAUCCGCCUAGAGAGAAGCUCGCGGCUGAUUAGCUUGUUGGUAAGGUAAGAGCUUACCAAGGCGACGAUCAGUAUCUGGUUUGAGAGGACGAUCAGACACACUGGAACUGAGACACGGUCCAGACUCCUACGGGAGGCAGCAGUGGGGAAUUUUCCGCAAUGGGCGAAAGCCUGACGGAGCAAUACCGCGUGAGGGAAGAAUGCCUAUGGGUUGUAAACCUCUUUUUCAGGGAGGAAUAAAAUGACGUGUACCUGAAGAAUAAGCAUCGGCUAACUCCGUG